This 193-nucleotide small nuclear RNA is filed under the name Monomorium pharaonis (pharaoh ant). RNAcentral's name for it is "U2 spliceosomal RNA". It matches the Rfam family "U2 spliceosomal RNA". Rfam says of the family: U2 is a small nuclear RNA (snRNA) component of the spliceosome (involved in pre-mRNA splicing). Complementary binding between U2 snRNA (in an area lying towards the 5' end but 3' to hairpin I) and the branchpoint sequence (BPS) of the intron results the bulging out of an unpaired adenosine, on the BPS, which initiates a nucleophilic attack at the intronic 5' splice site, thus starting the first of two transesterification reactions that mediate splicing. Lineage: Eukaryota; Metazoa; Arthropoda; Insecta; Hymenoptera; Formicidae. The record is from RNAcentral.
AUCGCUUCUCGGCUCUCUGAGCUAAGAUCAAAGUGUAGUAUCUGUUCUUAUCAGCUUAAUAUCUGAUACAGUCCCCAUAGGGGACUCAGAAUAUUAAACUGAUUUUUGCAACCAGGCGGGGUUCCGGGGCUUGCUCCGACCCUACCGCGGGUCAACCCGACAUUGCAGUACCGUCGGGACUGGCCCAAUAAAU